GUCCGGAUAGCUCAGUGGUAGAGCAUCAGACUUUUAAUCUGAGGGUCAAGGGUUAAAGUCCCUGUUCAGGUG
RNAcentral lists this transfer RNA (72 nucleotides) under Xenopus laevis (African clawed frog). It matches the Rfam family "tRNA". Rfam says of the family: Transfer RNA (tRNA) molecules are approximately 80 nucleotides in length. Lineage: Eukaryota; Metazoa; Chordata; Amphibia; Anura; Pipidae. The record is from Rfam by way of RNAcentral.